AGAGGGUUAAUCCCUGGCCUUAAUCCGCACUGGAAAUGCACCCUUAUUGCGGCUGCAUUGAAGAGUGAAUCUGGCCUCGACUUUGGGUAGGGUUUGCGAACAACCGUGGUUACUUGUGGGAGCUUUAGAAGUGGUCCAUUGAACUGGGCUCCUGAAGGAAUUUAUCCAUAAGUUCCAUAAAAGCGCAAUGAUGGCAGAGGUUGUACUGCUGUCUGGCUGCUGUUUGAAGUAACUACGGCGGCGGUGGUUUCCGAUGCGCUCCUAACAAUGCAUAGCGCAUUUGCCAGCCGAAAAUAUUUUACGCAGAAUAACGCAACGUCCAUCAAUUGUCCUAAGCCCAGGCUAUGCACACAUCAAAGGCAGGACAGCCCGCGCACUGCGCGCCAAAAUGCCCUCGCGAGGGAUUCGGACCGGCCGUGGCCGGCGCGGUAGCGUAAAAGCUAUCCAUGGGCAUUGCGUCUGUGAAUAGGCGGGCCACGCAAGGCUGCUUAUAUUAAUUCACGGCACAGGGCAUGCCUGAUUAAAAGGCCUCACCGAACGCGCAGCAAUGCGCAGCUCGCACGGCUAAGCGUGGGGAAACACAAGCUAACGAAACGACGCGGAAGGGGCUUAACACCCUGAGUUCACACAACGUUAACUACUCACAGCCAUUCUUUAUCAGGCGAGCCCUUCUUUCCAUGCAUUUUCGUUCCUCGCUAGAAGCGCAACGGUCAUGCAACCGUCUUCAAUCCAGCAGGAGGA
This 741-nucleotide long non-coding RNA is filed under the name Volvox carteri. Its description in RNAcentral is "long non-coding RNA (VCAR_LNC001950)". The record is from RNAcentral. Lineage: Eukaryota; Viridiplantae; Chlorophyta; Chlorophyceae; Chlamydomonadales; Volvocaceae.